This 78-nucleotide transfer RNA is filed under the name Stenotrophomonas phage YB07. RNAcentral describes it as "tRNA-OTHER". It matches the Rfam family "tRNA". From Rfam's summary of the family: Transfer RNA (tRNA) molecules are approximately 80 nucleotides in length. Their secondary structure includes four short double-helical elements and three loops (D, anti-codon, and T loops). Lineage: Duplodnaviria; Heunggongvirae; Uroviricota; Caudoviricetes. The record is from RNAcentral.
GUGUACGUUGUUCGUAUUGGUUCGGACGCCUGAUUGUGAGUCAGGAGCAUGUGGGUUCAAUUCCCAUCGUACACCCCU